Molecule: ribosomal RNA, 325 nt
Filed under: uncultured eukaryote
Lineage: Eukaryota
Description: partial 18S ribosomal RNA
Rfam family: Eukaryotic small subunit ribosomal RNA
Source: RNAcentral
CCCUUAGAUGUUCUGGGCCGCACGCGCGCUACACUGAUGCAUUCAACAAGCCUAGCCUUGACCGAGAGGUCCGGGUAAUCUUUGAAACUGCAUCGUGAUGGGGCUAGAUUAUUGCAAUUAUUAAUCUUCAACGAGGAAUGCCUAGUAAGCGUGAUUCAUCAAAUCGCGUUGAUUACGUCCCGCCCUUUGUACACACCGCCCGUCGCUCCUACCGAUUGAAUGUGUUGGUGAGGAGCUCGGAUUGGCAGCAGUUGGUGGUUCGCCACCGGCUAUUGCUGAGAAGUCCUCCAAACCGCCCCAUUUAGAGGAAGGAGAAGUCGUAACA